Molecule: long non-coding RNA, 3029 nt
Organism: Canis lupus familiaris (dog)
Lineage: Eukaryota; Metazoa; Chordata; Mammalia; Carnivora; Canidae
Exons: 11
Source: RefSeq, a predicted model, not a curated record
CAAGGGCGUGUGCAGAGUACAUGCUUAGUCAAGGGUUAUGGGGGAAAAGAUACUGAAGGAAGGCAGAGAUGAAAGGGGAAAUUGUGGGUGGGACAGAUAAAUGAGUCCAUAGUUCUUUACAUCUCAUCCGAUUACUUAUUUAUCGAAGGAGGAAAGGGGCAGAGCGAGGGAGAGGAAAACCUAGGAAGACUGCACUGAGCAGGGAGCCAGACACUAGCUGAUUCUUACCACGCUGAAAUCAUGACCAGAGGCAAAACCAAGAGUUGGCUGAUGAACCCACUGCGCCACCCAGUUGUUUCAGUUUCUUGAUGAGAUCCUUUGAAGCAAGGACAUUUUAAAUUUUCAAAAACUGGAAAAUCAAACCAUUGUCCCUCCUUGGAUGCCUGCUAAACAGUUGCACCAAGUUAUUUGUCACUGGCUUCUGAACUGCUUACGUAUCAAUGAAGCAGCCAUAUGGACCUGUCCAAAACAUUAUAUUAAUGUGUGGUUGAAAUCUGAAAAUGACGUUUGAAUUUGAGACAUAAGAUGUCCUGGAAGUCCCAUGACUAAGGUGAUGCAUUUAAUCAUGUGACAAGACUGAUCAUCUAUAAAUUUUGAGCUUCCAGUGAUGACUUCAUCACUCUGGACUGUGUUUCAACCAUGGCCAACUGCCGAGAUGGUGGGACUGGAUGGAUGACUCCAAAGUCGCCACAGGAUGCCACUCAUGACCGGCACUUCCCUUCCCGUGGCAGCUUCUCAAUCUGGGGAAGCUCCGAGCCGUAGCUCCCCGGGGACCCCUGCUUAAACUCUCGGCAGCUGCUCCUCUCGGCAAUGAAUGGCUCCAGUCAGCAGUCGAGCCCAGCAAUUACAGCCUCCUACAGCUGCUCCCCAAGAGUCCCAUUGCUUCUCACAUGCUCAAACAACCUCCAACAGCAUCUUGAUCCCCCAGCAGCUGCACAUUCGAGCGUUUCUUUGUCAGCACCGCUUUAAAGGAUGUCUCGUGGCAAUGCUCUAAUGGAGCCAUUCCCCCAAUCUUAAGAGCUGGUCCUGUUCCCAAACAGCCCAUCCCCCAACCCUCAUUCCACUUUAUGGAACAAGCCAAUGUGGUGUCAGACUUUUAACUGCUUCCUCAGCACUCGCUGGGUCUUGAAGUAGCUGCUCACUCAGUUCUGAGUGAUUUGUCGUGCACACAGAGAGGAAGUCCCAUGCACUUUCCUAUGGCUGACCAUCACUUCCCCCAUGGUAAUCAAACCUCAAGCCUCUCUACCUCCCAACUACCUCACUCCGAAAGUUAGAUGCGACCUCCGUCAAAAGAGGGCCACUUCCUUCAUAGGCACCCUGGACGUCACUGGGAAUCAAUAGUGAGACCAAUCUCAAUUACGUCCUAAUUCAAAAAAGGAAAGAGGAAGGGAUCUGCCUAUACAUGAUUGGUUCAUUGGAGUAGGAAGACGGUGUACAAGUUUCAUCAGAUUUUCAAGUGGGUUUGUGACCACAAAAAAAUGUGUAAGGACCACUGGUCUGGAUGCAAGACAAGUGUGGGUGAGGAAGUCCUGACAGCUUAUGCUGAAGGGAUGGGGAGGGAAUGAAGUUACCUUCCCUAAAGCUAAAGGUUCUUCAGAUGGGAUAAUGAAACAUCAUGAUUGUAAGGAUCAUUUUUAUUUCAGGUGGCUCAUUAUUUGUUUCUAUGUUAAAACUAUAAAGGGUAUAGAUUUUGGGUCUUUUCUUUGCAUUUGACAGCACGUCCAAAGUCGGGUUCCUAUGUAUAAUCUUAAUCUCCCCAACAAGUAUAAAAGGAGCUUAAACAAAACUGAGUGGCAGGCAGUCUGCCGGCCUUGUCCUGAGCUGUUACUGCAUUCAAGCAAUGACUAUUUUGACAUGUGUCGAUUCUGUAAGGCUUUUCCCAGUGCUGACAAUUUUUCUUUGGUUUCAUUUUGUAGCUUAUUGAAAAGAUUUUAAUGUUUACUGUUGCAGAACACCAACUUGAAUUUUCUAAUGCAUGUGGUAUUUUGACAUGCUUUUUUGACCAUCAUAGCUUGUGGGUCUUUCAAGGAAGGCAGGUCUAUGAUCUGUGAUGCUGUGUUAUUGCCCAUCAGUUCAACCUGGAGCAGAAGUGUGGUGUCUUUCUCUUCCGCCAUGUACCUUGUCAAGGCCUUAAUAUUCAUAAAACGAAUGUUAACAAUAUACUAAAGUGUGCUGCACUUUAAAGAAUACAGCUCUAUAAUUGUGGCCACAUGGAAUAAUUGCUCUCCAGAUACUCAUUGGCAGGUCUAAUCUUGAAAUAUCUGUACCUGAAUUCCUUUUCAAAGACCCACUGAGAGAAAUAAUAUUUGUUGAAGUUUGACUAAGAAAGGACAGGUCCUAACAUUUACUUACAGAUUUAGGUAAUAAUCAAAAAGCUAUCUUCCUGUUAUUGAACUGGCAUCUUUGUGAAUUUACUUUCAGGUUUUUAAUUUUUUUCUUUACUCCCCUGCACUUUGGGUUAUAUUAAGAGGUGCUAUAAAGAACAGGUCUCCCAAUGAGUGCGGGGAGUACCGUACAGCUACUGUUGAGAUGCCCCUUACAGCUCACAGUGCUUCUCUGGGCUGAUUCACAGUAGAGAUGCUGCUCCGUCUUGAGUGACAGGACCAGGAUACUAAGAAAUAUAAGUGUUAACUUUGUGGAUCAUGGAAUAAAUAAUUAAUCCUGUUUCUCUCCAUGUACUGGCUGCUACAAAUCUUAGAGCUAACUUGACUCCCCCCACUCUCCGAGCUCGAAAAUUACUUGGAAAUCACGACGUAACUUUUAUGUUCUAACCUCACCACGGACUGCAUCCCACUCUGCUUUGUUAUCAUUGCCUCCAAUUUCUUCUAUUUAUCCUGGUGUACUAACUACUUCUUUAUAAGCCUCUUUAAAUCCUUUCCGAUGUAAAAACAGAAUGUUAAUAAUAAAUGGUGUUUGAAUGUGUUGUCUUUCUGUUUUACAAAGGCCUUCUCCAAACAAUGACUAAGCCAGAGACAAGGGGCUAAUAACACUGUCAUAGUUUGGGAUCUUUGGGAAGCAGACACUGACAU